UUUCUCCAACCAGUCAGAAAGAGGUAGAGAAGUAUUAAGAGAACAGAAUAGAGAGAGAAGGCAAAUAGAGAGAAGCGGAUGCUCUGUUAGCAAAACCCACUUAGAGAGAAAUAGAGGUAUAGAGAGAGGUUUAGUAGAGAGAGAAAGAGAUCCCUGUAAACCCAACCCAGGAUAAGAGAGAGAGAGAAACAGGAAAACAGAUAUAGAUAAAGAGAACAAGUAGUGAAAGAGAGGUUUUAGAGAGAGAAGAUAGUGGUUUGUCCUGUAAUACGAUUGAGAGAGGUUUUAGAGAGAGAAGAUAGUGGUUCGUCCUGAAAGAUGUAAAAGAUAGCUACACAGUGAAAUAUAAGAGAAAGAUAGAGAGAGAAACAACAGUAC
RNAcentral lists this long non-coding RNA (378 nucleotides) under Amborella trichopoda. RNAcentral describes it as "long non-coding RNA (ATRI_LNC003523)". The record is from RNAcentral. Lineage: Eukaryota; Viridiplantae; Streptophyta; Magnoliopsida; Amborellales; Amborellaceae.